Molecule: transfer-messenger RNA, 367 nt
Filed under: Candidatus Nanopelagicales
Lineage: Bacteria; Bacillati; Actinomycetota; Actinomycetes
Also listed under: 1 other name
Description: RFTO01 sp009923375 Standard tmRNA
Rfam family: transfer-messenger RNA
About the family: Bacterial tmRNA, also known as 10Sa RNA or SsrA, is named for its dual tRNA and mRNA-like properties. Its role is to liberate the mRNA from a stalled ribosome.
Source: RNAcentral
GGGGGUGAACGGUUUCGACUUCGGAUGCCGUGAUGGGAGAAGCGAGCAGAGAACGCAGGUCAACUCUUAAAUGUUCCUGCAAAAAAACAAGCGCCAAUACACAGCGCAACGAUUUCGCCCUCGCCGCCUGAGCGAGCUCCGAAAUCCGUUGACCCGGGUUCGUCCUUGACCCGGUAAUCAACGUCAACUAGAGGACUUGGUGACGGCCCCGGUUACGGGGGCUCGAUCGACAACUCACAGUGACUGUCCCCGCUUAGCGACAAGUCUGCUAGAUCGCUAGGGGAGAGAAAAAGCACAGCAGGCUGCGCUCGGAGAAGUCCCUGAUUGUCGACGAAGGACGCGGGUUCGAUUCCCGCCACCUCCACAA